Molecule: ribosomal RNA, 259 nt
Filed under: uncultured bacterium
Lineage: Bacteria
Description: partial 16S ribosomal RNA
Rfam family: Bacterial small subunit ribosomal RNA
Source: RNAcentral
UACGGGAGGGGCAAGCGUUAUCCGGCAUGACUAGGCGUAAAGAGUUCGUAGAUUGUAAAAUAAGUUAAUUGUUAAAAAGUUGAAGCCUAACUUCAAAAAAAGCUUUUUAAUACUGUUUUACUUGAGUUUUAUACAGAAGAGUAGAAUUUUACAUUGGAGGGGUGAAAAUCUAAAAAUAAUGUAAAGGAAUACCAAUAGCGAAGGCAACUCUUUAGUAAAAACUGACAUUGAGGAACGAAAGUAAUGGGUAGCAAACAGG